UACGUAGGGUGCAAGCGUUAAUCGGAAUUACUGGGCGUAAAGCGUGCGCAGGCGGUUCUGAAAGUCAGCUGUGAAAGCCCCGGGCUUAACCUGGGAAUUGCGGUUGAAACUACAGGGCUAGAAUCUGGCAGAGGGGGGUGGAAUUCCACGUGUAGCAGUGAAAUGCGUAGAGAUGUGGAGGAACACCGAUGGCGAGGGCAGCCCCCUGGGCUGAGAUUGACGCUCAGGCACGAAAGCGUGGGGAGCAAACAGG
This 253-nucleotide ribosomal RNA is filed under the name uncultured bacterium. RNAcentral's name for it is "partial 16S ribosomal RNA". It matches the Rfam family "Bacterial small subunit ribosomal RNA", at positions 524 to 776 of the family's 1533-position model. The record is from RNAcentral.